Small nuclear RNA from Xenopus tropicalis (tropical clawed frog), 164 nucleotides. Its record names the gene U1. It matches the Rfam family "U1 spliceosomal RNA". From Rfam's summary of the family: U1 is a small nuclear RNA (snRNA) component of the spliceosome (involved in pre-mRNA splicing). Its 5' end forms complementary base pairs with the 5' splice junction, thus defining the 5' donor site of an intron. There are significant differences in sequence and secondary structure between metazoan and yeast U1 snRNAs, the latter being much longer (568 nucleotides as compared to 164 nucleotides in human). NCBI's taxonomy places the organism in Eukaryota, Metazoa, Chordata, Amphibia, Anura, Pipidae. The record is from Ensembl.
AUACUUACCUGGCAGGGGAGAUACCAUGAUCACAAAGGUGGUUCUCCCAGGGCGAGGCUCAUCCAUUGCACUCCGGCCGUGCUGACCCCUGCGAUUUCCCCAAAUGCGGGAAAGUCGACUGCAUAAUUUCUGGUAGUGGGGGACUGCGUUCGCGCUUUCCCCUG